This is a long non-coding RNA of Daphnia pulex (common water flea), 2126 nucleotides long. RefSeq lists it as uncharacterized. The record is from RefSeq and is a predicted model, not a curated record. The transcript has 7 exons. Lineage: Eukaryota; Metazoa; Arthropoda; Branchiopoda; Diplostraca; Daphniidae.
AGUGAUUAGUCCCAAUCACCGUGCUUAGUGUUGGCAAUUAUCUAAAGUCGUCUGCUCUGUAGAAUUUGACAGUUUAACAGAUUGAGUUCCAAUUGGUAGCUAUCAGAAUUCUUAAAUUAGGUUUCUUCGUUAGUUUUCUAUUUAAGUUGUUUAUAAAUGUUUUGGUUGUCAUUUAGUUUGAUGCUGUGUGUGUGAAGUAGACUAUCUGUUUUUGUUAAGCAAAAUGGUGUAGAUGACUGUUUUUCCCAUAAUUUGAAAAGCCUAUUCCGUGAAUUUCUUGGUUACCAGCUCUAAUCAAGUUCCUACAUUUAAGUAAAUGUUUUUCACUGGAGGAUCUGGAUAUAUCGGAAGCCCCUGUUUGGUUGAGCUGUUGGAAUUAAGCUGGCUUCAUGUUUAUCUCUUACGAUAACUUAUUGUCAACUAUAUUAAAUGAGAAGAAGACACUGUUCAGUUUCAACAGUGUGUUCAGAAGAUCCUCCAGCAGAAACAGCAGCUUCAAGUUGAGCAACAGCUAAUACCUCAAUUGGUUGCUGCUAUAUGUGGGAGUGUUCAGCCAACCCCCGUCAGCUGAGUUGAUAAUAACUUUGACAUUAAAGCAGAAUCAGCCGUUGCAAAGAUUUCACCGUACAACAGUGAUGAAGUCAAAGACAUUGACGAGUGCAAUUUGAAGGAUGCUGUCAAGGUGGCCAGUACACCCUUGUCAUUGACAGUUACACCUGCUCCUGUCCGCCAUGUUUUGACCUGACCUCUGAUGGGAAACAAUGUUUAGAUCACGACGAGUGCGUAGAGACGGGAAUGUGCACCCACGGAAUUUGCAUUACAUGGACGUUUCCUUCAAGUGCCAAUGUCAAUAAAGAUACGCCCUUUCACCAUCUGGAUACUCAUUUUGAUGAAUGCACCGAAAUUCUCUGGGUUUAUUUUCCGGCCGUUGUGAGAAUAUCUCCGGCUCUUUCGAGUGCGUUUAUGAGGAAGGAUUGUCCAGCUCGUCCGUCGGACCGUUUUGCGUCAACAUGGAAGAAUGCGGACAGACUGGAAUGUGUGACAGCAGCAAAUGGAUCAACAUGAACGGAUUGUUCAAAUGAUUCUGCGAUUCCGGAUACAAAUUGUCGUCAGAGGGAAAGACUUGCACUGAUAUCGCCGAGUGUAAGAAAAUUGCUUGCUGCGAGAACAACCCGCCCCGUUUGACGUUGAAAUCUGUGUGUUGCAUGUUUGGCCUGGCCUGGGGCAUUCCGUGCGAGAUGUGCUACACGAUCGAGUUCGUCUGCCCCAUCAGCUACGCCAGUGGACGGCAAGACGUGCACGGACAUCAAUGAGUGCGACUUGAACCCGGGCAUCUGCAAAGGCGGCGGCCUCUGCGUCAACACGGAUGGAUCCUUUAAAUGUACCUGCCAUCCAGUACUGACGCUCUACGAGACGGCCACACGCUGCAUCGACCAGCGCCAAGAGCUCUGCUACCUUAACUAUCACCACGGUAUCUGCACCAAGAAACUGGACACUAUCUUAGGAGCGCUUUCUGCUGCAGCAUAAGCAAAGCCUGGAGCCACACCUGCGACUCGGGACCCAAGCCGGGAUCGCCGACCUUCGAGGAACUCUGCCCCAAGGGCCAAGGCUACGUCAACCACAAGGGCACCAAUGAGGGAACGGAGAGCACGACUUUCUCCGGACGACAUGUGCGAUCACGGCUAUUGCAAGAACAGCAUCAGCAGUUUAAACUGCCACUGUAGCCAAGGCGAUGCCCUCAACGAUCAAAUGCAAUGGUAAAUACUAAAUAAUUCAAUCGUAAACAUCAAGAGGGGAGUUUGUGGCAACGGAACGUAUAAAAAAACGGUAUUUUCACCUACGAUUGCGAGGAAGGUUUCGAGAUCACCAUGCAAAUUUACAUGGAUAUUGACGAAUGACGAGUGCCAACGCACCCCUGGAUUAUGCUGUGGCGGUAAAUGUAUCAACAUCACUCCCGGUAGCCGAAUACGGACGAGGAUCUUACAUGGGUCAAUAGCGGAACGAUGUAUCUUUGUGCUUUUUUAUUUCAUUUCCUUUACGAUUUACUAUUUUCUUACAUACCGUUAUUUAUAAUGACAUGUAUUUUGUCACUUGAAUGGAAAAUAUAAAUGUUAUCAUAAAUAAAA